ACGAACGCUGGCGGCAUGCCUAAAACAUGCAAGUCGAACGCUCUAGCAAUAGAGAGUGGCGCACGGGUGAGUAACAUGUGGGAAUAUGCCUUUUGGUACGGAACAACUUUUGGAAACGAAAGCUAAUACCGUAUGGUCCCUUCGGGGUAAAGAUUUAUCGCCAAAAGAGUAGCCCGCACUGGAUUAGCUAGUUGGUAAGGUAAUGGCUUACCAAGGCGACGAUCCAUAGCUGGUCUGAGAGGACGAUCAGCCACACUGGGACUGAGACACGGCCCAGACUCCUACGGGAGGCAGCAGUUAGGAAUCUUGGACAAUGGGCGCAAGCCUGAUCCAGCCAUGCCGCGUGAGUGAUGAAGGCCUUCGGGUUGUAAAGCUCUUUAGCCGACGAAUAUAAUGACUGUAGUCGGAGAAUAAGCCCCGGCUAACUUCGU
Molecule: ribosomal RNA, 431 nt
Filed under: uncultured bacterium
Lineage: Bacteria
Description: bacterial SSU rRNA
Rfam family: Bacterial small subunit ribosomal RNA
Source: RNAcentral